Molecule: ribosomal RNA, 492 nt
Filed under: uncultured bacterium
Lineage: Bacteria
Description: partial 16S ribosomal RNA
Rfam family: Bacterial small subunit ribosomal RNA
Source: RNAcentral
AGUGAACGCUGGCGGUAGGCCUAACACAUGCAAGUCGAACGGCAGCACAGUAAGAGCUUGCUCUUACGGGUGGCGAGUGGCGGACGGGUGAGGAGUACAUCGGAAUCUACUUUUUCGUGGGGGAUAACGUAGGGAAACUUACGCUAAUACCGCAUACGACCUACGGGUGAAAGCAGGGGAUCUUCGGACCUUGCGCGAUUGAAUGAGCCGAUGUCGGAUUAGCUAGUUGGCGGGGUAAAGGCCCACCAAGGCGACGAUCCGUAGCUGGUCUGAGAGGAUGAUCAGCCACACUGGAACUGAGACACGGUCCAGACUCCUACGGGAGGCAGCAGUGGGGAAUAUUGGACAAUGGGCGCAAGCCUGAUCCAGCCAUACCGCGUGGGUGAAGAAGGCCUUCGGGUUGUAAAGCCCUUUUGUUGGGAAAGAAAAGCAGCAGGUUAAUACCCCGCUGUUCUGACGGUACCCAAAGAAUAAGCACCGGCUAACUUCGCG